This is a long non-coding RNA of Etheostoma cragini (Arkansas darter), 162 nucleotides long. RefSeq lists it as uncharacterized. The record is from RefSeq and is a predicted model, not a curated record. Lineage: Eukaryota; Metazoa; Chordata; Actinopteri; Perciformes; Percidae. The transcript is spliced from 3 exons.
UUUUGAAAAGAUGAGAUUGUGUUGUAUAUAAUUGAAAUCUGGCCUUUACGUUGUACAGGAGUUUGUAAGAUGUUGUCCAACUCUGAAUUUACUAGUAAGGCUGGGAAGGUUGAGCUCCAUGUUUGGAUAAAGUUACGGAUUUGGAAAUAUCUAAAUAAAUCU